UACAGAGGGUGCAAGCGUUGUUCGGAAUUAUUGGGCGUGAAGGGCGCGUAGGCGGUGCCACAAGUCACCUGUGAAAUCUCCGGGCUUAACUCGGAGCCUGCAGGCGAAACUGUCGGGCUGGAGUCCGGAAGAGGCGAGUGGAAUUCCUGGUGUAGCGGUGAAAUGCGCAGAUAUCAGGAGGAACACCAAUGGCGAAGGCAGCUCGCUGGGACGGUACUGACGCUGAGACGCGAAAGCGUGGGGAGCAAACAGG
Molecule: ribosomal RNA, 253 nt
Filed under: uncultured bacterium
Lineage: Bacteria
Description: partial 16S ribosomal RNA
Rfam family: Bacterial small subunit ribosomal RNA
Source: RNAcentral